UACGUAGGGAGCAAGCGUUGUUCGGAUUUACUGGGCGUAAAGGGCGCGUAGGCGGCAAAUUAAGUCAGCUGUGAAAUCUCCGAGCUUAACUCGGAACUGUCAGCUGAUACUGAUCUGCUAGAGUGCGGAAGGGGCAAUCGGAAUUCUUGGUGUAGCGGUGAAAUGCGUAGAUAUCAAGAGGAACACCUGAGGUGAAGACGGGUUGCUGGGCCGACACUGACGCUGAGUGCGCGAAAGCCAGGGGA
RNAcentral lists this ribosomal RNA (245 nucleotides) under uncultured bacterium. Its description in RNAcentral is "partial 16S ribosomal RNA". It matches the Rfam family "Bacterial small subunit ribosomal RNA", at positions 524 to 767 of the family's 1533-position model. The record is from RNAcentral.